Molecule: unclassified non-coding RNA, 240 nt
Filed under: soil metagenome
Description: partial contains 5.8S ribosomal RNA, internal transcribed spacer 2, and large subunit ribosomal RNA
Source: RNAcentral
AACCUAGCACACCUGCGGUGUGUACCUGCGGAGGGAUCAUUACCGAAGUUACUCUUCAUACCCUUAUGUGAACCCUACCCCUCGCCGCGCGGUUGCCUCGGCGGGAGGUCGCGGAGCCCCGGCCCCGCGGCCCCCGCCGGCCGCGCCCAACUCUUCUUCUGCAAAGCGGACUGCAAGUUCUGAUUACAUCUUGAAAAACAAGUCAAAACUUUCAACAACGGAUCUCAGAUCGGAAGAGCA